RNAcentral lists this ribosomal RNA (400 nucleotides) under phytoplankton environmental sample. Its description in RNAcentral is "partial small subunit ribosomal RNA". It matches the Rfam family "Eukaryotic small subunit ribosomal RNA", at positions 587 to 993 of the family's 1831-position model. The record is from RNAcentral.
AGCUCCAAUAGCGUAUAUUAAAGUUGUUGCAGUUAAAAAGCUCGUAGUUGGAUUUCGGGACGGGCCGGUCGGUCGGCCGCGAGGUCUGUUACUGACCGGUCUGUUCUUCUUCGCAAAGACUGCGUGUGCUCUUUACUGAGUGGGCGUAGGAUUUGCGACGUUUACUUUGAAAAAAUUAGAGUGUUCAAAGCAGGCUAUCGCUUGAAUACAUGAGCAUGGAAUAAUGGAAUAGGACUUUGGUCCUAUUUUGUUGGUUUCUAGGACCAAAGUAAUGAUUAAGAGGGACAAUUGGGGGCAUCCGUAUUUCGUUGUCAGAGGUGAAAUUCUUGGAUUUGCGAAAGACGAACAACUGCGAAAGCACUUGCCAAGAGUGUUUUCAUUAAUCAAGAACGAAAGUAGG